AGUGUAGAACUUUGCGCGUUAAGUGCCGAUGGAACGGGGGGUGUCCACGGACGAAAAGCAGAAUACUGCUUGCGGUGCAAUUUUCGCUCCCGCU
This 94-nucleotide non-coding RNA is filed under the name human gut metagenome. RNAcentral's name for it is "THF riboswitch". It matches the Rfam family "THF (Tetrahydrofolate) riboswitch aptamer". Rfam says of the family: THF riboswitch presents a pseudoknot that joins P1-P2 and the loop of P3 and two THF binding. The record is from RNAcentral.